GUAGUUCGGCAAACAAACCACAGGUUUCUCUAACCUGAGAUCUGAUAGACUCAAGCAGACUUCAAACCUGCUUCAGAGAUAUGUUUCAGCAAUGUUAUAGCCAAAACAUGGUAACAGUGUUACCUUCUUGACGAGUUAGAAAAAUAUUGACACAAUUUUUAUAAUCCAAAAAAAAAUGUUUAACAUGUAGCUUGGCCAAUAAACCACAGGUUUCUCUAACCUGAGGUCUGAUAAACUCAAGCUGUCUUCAAUCUUGCAUCAGAGAUUUGUUUCAGCAACGUUAUAGCCAAAACAUAGUAACAGUGUUAAAUUCUUGAUGCGUUACAAAAAUAUUGAUACAUUUUUUUAUAAUCCAAAAAAAAUGUUUGACAUGUAGCUUGGCCAAUAAACCACAGGUUUCUCUAAUCUGAGAUCUGAUAAACCCAAGAUGUCUUCAAUCUUGUAUCAGAGAUAUGUUUCAGCAAUGUUAUAGCCAAAACAUGGUAACAGUGUUAAAUUCUUGACGAGUUACAAAAAUAUUGAUAUGAUUUUUUAUAAUCCAAAAAAAUGUUUAACAUGUAGCUUGGCCAAUAAACCAUAGGUUUCUCUAAUCUGAGAUCUGAUAAACACAAGCUGUCUUCAAUCUUGUAUCAGAGAUAUGUUUCAGCAAUGUUAUAGCCAAAACAUGGUAACAGUGUUAAAUUCUUGACGAGUUACAAAAAUAUUGAUAUAAUUUUUAUAAUCCACAAAAAUGUUUAACAUGUAGCUUGGCCAAUAAACCAUAGGUUUCUCUAACCUGAGGUCUGAUAAACUCAAGUUGUCUUCAAUCUUGCAUCAGAGAUUUGUUUCAGCAACAUUAUAGCCAAAACAUAGUAACAGUAUUAAAUUCUUGAUGCGUUACAAAAAUAUUGAUACAUUUUUUUAUAAUCCAAAAAAAAUGUUUGACAUGUAGCUUGGCCAAUAAACCACAGGUUUCUCUAACCUGAGGUCUGAUAAACUCAAGCUGUCUUCAAUCUUGCAUCAGAGAUUUGUUUCAGCAACGUUAUAGCCAAAACAUAGUAACAGUGUUAAAUUCAUGAUGCGUUACAAAAAUAUUGAUACAAUUUUUUAUAAUCCAAAAAAAAUUGUUUAACAUGUAGCUUGGCCAAUAAACCACAGGUUUCUCUAAUCUGAGAUCUGAUAAACCCAAGCUGUCUUCAAUCUUGUAUCAGAGAUAUGUUUCAGCAAUGUUAUAGCCAAAACAUGGUAACAGUAUUAAAUUCUUGACGAGUUACAAAAAUAUUGAUAUAAUUUUUAUAAUCCAAAAAAAUGUUUAACAUGUAGCUUGGCCAAUAAACCAUAGGUUUCUCUAACCUGAGGUCUGAUAAACUCAAGUUGUCUUCAAUCUUGCAUCAGAGAUUUGUUUCAGCAACAUUAUAGCCAAAACAUAGUAACAGUAUUAAAUUCUUGAUGCGUUACAAAAAUACUGAUACAUUUUUUUUAUAAUCCAAAAAAAUGUUUAACAUGUAGCUUGGCCAAUAAACCACAGGUUUCUCUAACCUGAGGUCUGAUAAACUCAAGCUGUCUUCAAUCUUGCAUCAGAGAUUUGUUUCAGCAACGUUAUAGCCAAAACAUAGUAACAGUGUUAAAUUCAUGAUGCGUUACAAAAAUAUUGAUACAAUUUUUUAUAAUCCAAAAAAAAUUGUUUAACAUGUAGCUUGGCCAAUAAACCACAGGUUUCUCUAAUCUGAGAUCUGAUAAACCCAAGCUGUCUUCAAUCUUGUAUCAGAGAUAUGUUUCAGCAAUGUUAUAGCCAAAACAUGGUAACAGUAUUAAAUUCUUGACGAGUUACAAAAAUAUUGAUAUAAUUUUUAUAAUCCAAAAAAAUGUUUAACAUGUAGCUUGGCCAAUAAACCAUAGGUUUCUCUAACCUGAGGUCUGAUAAACUCAAGCUGUCUUCAAUCUUGCAUCAGAGAUUUGUUUCAGCAACAUUAUAGCCAAAACAUAGUAACAGUAUUAAAUUCUUGAUGCGUUACAAAAAUACUGAUACAUUUUUUUAUAAUCCAAAAAAAUGUUUAACAUGUAGCUUGGCCAAUAAACCACAGGUUUCUCUAACCUGAGGUCUGAUAAACUCAAGUUGUCUUCAAUCUUGCAUCAGAGAUUUGUUUCAGCAACGUUAUAGCCAAAACAUAGUAACAGUGUUAAAUUCAUGAUGCGUUACAAAAAUAUUGAUACAAUUUUUUUAUAAUCCAAAAAAAAUUGUUUAACAUGUAGCUUGGCCAAUAAACCACAGGUUUCUCUAAUCUGAGAUCUGAUAAACCCAAGUUGUCUUCAAUCUUGUAUCAGAGAUAUGUUUCAGCAAUGUUAUAGCCAAAACAUGGUAACAGUGUUAAAUUCUUGACGAGUUACAAAAAUAUUGAUAUAAUUUUUAUAAUCCA
RNAcentral lists this long non-coding RNA (2396 nucleotides) under Zea mays. RNAcentral describes it as "long non-coding RNA (ZMAY_LNC005127)". Lineage: Eukaryota; Viridiplantae; Streptophyta; Magnoliopsida; Poales; Poaceae. The record is from RNAcentral.